AGAACGAACGCUGGCGGCAUGCCUAAUACAUGCAAGUCGAACGAACACUUCGGUGUUAGUGGCGCACGGGUGCGUAACGCGUGGGAAUCUGCCCUUGGGUUCGGAAUAACAGUUGGAAACGACUGCUAAUACCGGAUGAUAUCGAAAGAUCAAAGAUUUAUCGCCCAGGGAUGAGCCCGCGUAGGAUUAGCUAGUUGGUGAGGUAAAGGCUCACCAAGGCGACGAUCCUUAGCUGGUCUGAGAGGAUGAUCAGCCACACUGGGACUGAGACCCAGGCCCAGACUCCUACGGGAGGCAGCAGUAGGGAAUAUUGGACAAUGGGCGCAAGCCUGAUCCAGCAAUGCCGCGUGAGUGAUGAAGGCCUUAGGGUUGUAAAGCUCUUUUACCCGAGAUGAUAAUGACAGUAUCGGAGAAUAAGCCCCGGACUAACUCCGUGCCAGCAGCCGC
This 447-nucleotide ribosomal RNA is filed under the name uncultured soil bacterium. RNAcentral's name for it is "bacterial SSU rRNA". It matches the Rfam family "Bacterial small subunit ribosomal RNA", at positions 26 to 518 of the family's 1533-position model. The record is from RNAcentral.